CUCUGGAAAGCUCCAGGGGAAAUUUGAGGCAAAACCCAGCUUCUCUGAGACGUAACUCAGGGAGGAUCCGGCUCAAUCCUACAGAGGCGACCCCAAGGAAGGACCUGCCCAGGGUCACUUGGAGAGCUGGGCGGGAGGAGGGAGAAACCUCCCCGGUUCAGAGUGACAAAGCCCCUCUUGCCCCAGGGAUGGCUGAGAUCCAAGUCCUCAAAAACACGCCGCCGUCUGGAGGGUGUGAGAGCCAGGUCCGUCCUCAGCAUGGAGGCUGCAGUGCACACUGUUCCGUGCCAGGUGCUGGCUGACCCUGCCCUGGGGGAGGUGAUGGACAGGCACAGAGGGGGAGCCCCGCAAACAAGGGGCCCUGUUACAGCAGAGGGGGAGAGCGCCUGAUAGAACGCCAAGUGCCGUGGCCGGGCUGCAGAGAGGCCUGCGGGGCUUGUAGACAAGACACCAUGGAGAAGCCGGAGCUCCCAUGGGCCUUGCAGGUCUCACCAAGCAAGAGCGGAGAAGACACAGGCUGGACAAAGGAAGGUGGAUGGGACAGCCAGCCGUGCAGCAGCCUCACAGGACACAGCUACCAGACAGAGAGUACCGGCUGACACUCAUUCCUUCAGCACCAGGAAAUGCCACAGCAGAAGGGGGCCUUCGAGAUGGGCCAGCCCCACUUCUGCAGCAUGGUUGCUGGGAGCCUGCACAGGCCAGGCGUUUCUCUACAGGUCCAAUUGCUCUUCAGAACUCAAAAUCCCAUCUCUGCAGGUCUCAGCCAAUCCUGCUCCUGCCUGUUUUUAUUUCCUGCCCAGAGCAAGUACAGAACCGGGGACCAUCGAUGGGUGAGAAAUCACUGUGCCUCCAAGCCGUAUUUUUCACAGUAACAAGUCAUUACUUCUGUGCCUGGAGUCAUUUCUCAGGAUCUUAAUGCAUUCAUUUAUCAAUCAAUACUUAAUUGAUGUUUAUAAAGCAUGUUCAAAAUCAGAGGUGAGAGCAGCUCACCAGGUACCGACUUCGUGUCUGGAGUCACCUUGUUAAGGAGCAACCCUUGGCACGGGUGCCAUGUCUGCGCCCUCGGGAGCUCUGGGUGGGUGCACUGGGGUCCUCACAGCCCUUCCCACCACUGC
RNAcentral lists this long non-coding RNA (1115 nucleotides) under Pongo abelii (Sumatran orangutan). RNAcentral's name for it is "lincRNA". Lineage: Eukaryota; Metazoa; Chordata; Mammalia; Primates; Hominidae. The record is from RNAcentral.